Molecule: ribosomal RNA, 743 nt
Filed under: uncultured bacterium
Lineage: Bacteria
Description: bacterial SSU rRNA
Rfam family: Bacterial small subunit ribosomal RNA
Source: RNAcentral
AGAGUUUGAUCCUGGCUCAGAGCGAACGCUGGCGGCAGGCUUAACACAUGCAAGUCGAGCGGGCGUAGCAAUACGUCAGCGGCAGACGGGUGAGUAACGCGUGGGAACGUACCUUUUGGUUCGGAACAACACAGGGAAACUUGUGCUAAUACCGGAUAAGCCCUUACGGGGAAAGAUUUAUCGCCGAAAGAUCGGCCCGCGUCUGAUUAGCUAGUUGGUGUGGUAACGGCGCACCAAGGCGACGAUCAGUAGCUGGUCUGAGAGGAUGAUCAGCCACAUUGGGACUGAGACACGGCCCAAACUCCUACGGGAGGCAGCAGUGGGGAAUAUUGGACAAUGGGCGCAAGCCUGAUCCAGCCAUGCCGCGUGAGUGAUGAAGGCCCUAGGGUUGUAAAGCUCUUUUGUGCGGGAAGAUAAUGACGGUACCGCAAGAAUAAGCCCCGGCUAACUUCGUGCCAGCAGCCGCGGUAAUACGAAGGGGGCUAGCGUUGCUCGGAAUCACUGGGCGUAGAGGGUGCGUAGGCGGGUCUUUAAGUCAGGGGUGAAAUCCUGGAGCUCAACUCCAGAACUGCCUUUGAUACUGAGGAUCUUGAGUUCGGGAGAGGUGAGUGGAACUGCGAGUGUAGAGGUGAAAUUCGUAGAUAUUCGCAAGAACACCAGUGGCGAACGCGGCUCACUGGCCCGAUACUGACGCUGAGCACGAAAGCGUGGGGAGCAAACAGGAUUAGAUACCCUGGUAGUCC